RNAcentral lists this ribosomal RNA (497 nucleotides) under uncultured bacterium. Its description in RNAcentral is "partial 16S ribosomal RNA". It matches the Rfam family "Bacterial small subunit ribosomal RNA", at positions 28 to 507 of the family's 1533-position model. The record is from RNAcentral.
GACGAACGCUGGCGGCGUGCCUAAUACAUGCAAGUUGAGCACUGAAGGUUGGUACUUGUACCAACUGGAUGAGCAGCGAACGGGUGAGUAACGCGUGGGGAAUCUGCCUUUGAGCGGGGGACAACAUUUGGAAACGAAUGCUAAUACCGCAUAAAAACUUUAAACACAAGUUUUAAGUUUGAAAGAUGCAAUUGCAUCACUCAAAGAUGAUCCCGCGUUGUAUUAGCUAGUUGGUGAGGUAAAGGCUCACCAAGGCGAUGAUACAUAGCCGACCUGAGAGGGUGAUCGGCCACAUUGGGACUGAGACACGGCCCAAACUCCUACGGGAGGCAGCAGUAGGGAAUCUUCGGCAAUGGACGAAAGUCUGACCGAGCAACGCCGCGUGAGUGAAGAAGGUUGUCGGAUCGUAAAACUCUGUUGGUAGAGAAGAACGUUGGUGAGAGUGGAAAGCUCAUCAAGUGACGGUAACUACCCAGAAAGGGACGGCUAACUACGUG